CUUGAACGCACGAACAAAACACCGCUAUUUGGAUAUAACUAUGGAUUAUUUGGAACCAAACCAACAUUUGUUGUUGAAGUAGAAGUCCUGGGAGUGCAUUCUGACGAAGAACAGCAAAGGUCCAGGACGUCCUCCACUCUCUCUUCUCCCGGGCCCAGGAUCCCUGCUCCUCCUGGACACGCUGCUUGGUCUUUUUGUGGUGGGAUCUUCUGUGGCGGCGUUCGUCGGAAGGGAGGAGACCAAGGUGCAGCGUGGAUGCACCUGAAACACCAUCCCCAGUGAUAAUGGCUCCAUAUCUGUCACUCACCUACUGUAGCUGGAGAAUUGGCGUGUGUUCCUGUCCUCGUCAGGCAUCCUGGGCCAAAUGCUGUCACUAUGUAAAACUAAACCUGAGAGAAACACUCUGCAGUGAUGGAACAGUGCCUUAUGAGAUGCAGCAGAGGUGAUAGGCUGUGAGUGUGAUACAGAUACAGGCCAAUGGAGGAGGUGAGCAAGGAGGUGAACGUGCCUUGUGUGUGCCCUGCCAGCUUGUGGCCUUGUGUCCUGCCAGCGUUGUCUGGCUGGUUAUUCAUGGCAGCAGGUGCUCUCCCUUAGCGGAAUGGGUCUCCAGCUUCUGUCCUCCAGGGCCUGAGGAACAAGGGACUCAUGACUCCACUGCACCUGAUCUCCUCCCCUGGCACCACUGGGCCGGUACCAGGCCACUGAUUAUGCAAAGCUUUUAGCAUGCAGAUAUGUUUUUGGGGGAAUGUAGCUUCUUUUGAAGGAAAAAAAUAUUUACGGGAACAAAGUUCCACAUCACACUAUAAUUUUCCCUUUGAUGUUUUAUGCACAGCGUUCCUUGGAGAGAGUUUGGGUGGUAGAGUGAGAGGGGCUCUGAGGAAAUGUAUUUUUCAUAGACCACUUAUAACGGGAAAAGCGCCAACAGGGGUUAAUUUUGACCCCAAGUGGUCAAAACCUUAUUUUUAUCCUUCUGAGAUUUUCGGACUUUAUCAACCAACUAGUUGCUGACCCAAAACAUAAUAAUUGACCAUGCUUUCUGUGUUAAUAUGGAGGAAUGAAAAAUUAUCUUAAUUUUCUAUACUAGUGGUGCAUGGCUAAGUUUAAAAUGUUGCCUCAGUAGUGCAUUUUGUGAUAAAAGCACCAAAUGUUGCACAGCUAUAUGUACCCUGACAACCCCAGAUUUUUUUUUUAUGUACAUAAAUUAAUCUCCAGCCAAGAAAAAAUGUAAAUACAGUUUGUAAUCUGGAAGAGAUUCAUUUGGUACACAUUAAUAGAAAUCAAAUGCACAAUAUAUUUUAGAGAUUGUCAUGCUCUAUGAGGAGUUCUCCAGAAUCUCACUUAAAGCAUUUCAAUGGCUCUACUGUGAACAACAUAGGUCAAUCAUACAAUAAACAUUCAAACAACAAACCACUGCCAGAAAAUCCUGAAUUGAUAUGUGAAUAUAAACAGCAAUGUAACUCAUAUAAUCCAAUUACCUGAUUAUUUGAUUCUGCGUUUAUUAAAUCAGAGUUUUACUGUAAGUGUGAAUCUCAACUGUAAAUUCAGCCCUAAAACAAUUAUCACAGUAACACAUCAACCCCUAACUCCCUCCCAUCUACUGAAACAGACCAAGGGAAGAUUGGCUGCAGUUUUACCAUGUUUUACAUUGAUGUGAUUAAUUGUAUGGCGCUCAAUCAAUCGAUCUGUUCCUUUUCUUCCUCUCCCUCUCUAUCCCUCUCUAUCCCUCUCUUAGCUUCCAGUCAAUGUUUAUAUACCAAUUUGAGAGUAUCAUCUUUCAGCUGCGAUUGGAACUGAGUUGACAGCCCACAGUGUUCCAAAGUUAGAGCAAAAAUUCUGAUGGCACUGGCGCCAAUGUUGCAUAUAUCACCAAAAACGGUGGCCAUCUUAGGUUGUAGCUCAAUCGCCAAUUCCUCAGCCUCUGAGAGUCACAUAAACAACGCUUUCUGUAGGACAGACGCUGGAAGACGAGAAGCAAGUAUAGGGAGUGAACAUUAAAUGAAUAACUGACAAGAAACAAACAAGGACAGCGUCUGAACAGGGGAAACAUAACGACAAUAAUGCUUACACGGGGAACAAACUUAGGAACAGACAGAUAUAUGGCAAUCAACAAAGUGAAGGAUUCCAGGUGAGUCCAAUAUUGCACUGAUGUGUGAAAUGAUGGUGACAGAUGUGAGUAGUGAUGGGCAACCUGGUGCCUUCGAGCACCAGGGAGUGGGAGCAGACAUGACAGCUUUCAAUGAAUAACAGAAACAUGUUCAUGACAAGUUGCUAUGGAUGGAAUUUAUCAAAAUAAUAUAUGCUUAUUUUGGGGAAAUAAAACCAAUAACUUGUGUUACAAAAGGUUAAUAAAAGGAAACGUGUUACCUGCUUGACAGACACUAACCACAUUUCCAUCCAUAGAUUUCCUGCGAAUAAAGUCCUACCGUAUUUAAAAGAAA
This 2438-nucleotide long non-coding RNA is filed under the name Salmo salar (Atlantic salmon). RNAcentral describes it as "lncRNA (ENSSSAG00000120476.1)". Lineage: Eukaryota; Metazoa; Chordata; Actinopteri; Salmoniformes; Salmonidae. The record is from RNAcentral.